UCCCUUUCGACCACCUGUGAAGGAUGUUUUACAUUUCCUCACAGAGUUAUUUGAUCAAGCAUCUAUUGGGAGAUGGUUGAAGGACGUCCUAAAGGAGGCAGGAGUAGAUACGUGUGUCUUCAAGGCACAUUCCACAAGGAGUGCGUCUACGUCUUCAGCGAGAAGAAGUGGAGUUUCGGUUCAGGACAUUUUGAAUGCUGCAGAUUGGUCUAGAGAGACAACAUUCAAUCGCUUCUAUUAUCGCCAGACUUAUUCAAGCUCUUUUGGCAGAGCAGUCCUGUCAUAGGUGGUUGACAGAUUGGACAUUUUGACAUUACUGGACGUCACAUUUUUGUUAUUGUUGCAAUAAACAUUUCAUUUCAUCA
Exaiptasia diaphana is the source of this 365-nucleotide long non-coding RNA. RefSeq lists it as uncharacterized. The record is from RefSeq and is a predicted model, not a curated record. Lineage: Eukaryota; Metazoa; Cnidaria; Anthozoa; Actiniaria; Aiptasiidae. The transcript has 3 exons.